Molecule: long non-coding RNA, 408 nt
Organism: Oreochromis aureus
Lineage: Eukaryota; Metazoa; Chordata; Actinopteri; Cichliformes; Cichlidae
Exons: 3
Source: RefSeq, a predicted model, not a curated record
GCUCACAGUGUCAGGUGCAUGUGCGGGUGCAGAACAGCAGCACACAGAAACAUGCAGUGGACUCAUAUUAUCGUAGCUCUGCUGAACAUCAUGUGGAUUGCUUUCUUUUUAUCUCCACAUCUUGUCCCAGUGUUUGUGCAGAGAAGAAGCACCAGCAUCUCUGAUGAGGCAAUCCUGUUGAGAGUGUUUUGUAUUCAGCCUCCACCUGACAUAAACUGGACAUCAAGUGUACCAGCAGUCUACAUACCUGAUAAUAAAACCAACUCCACCAACACAACCUUAAAAAGAGACCUGGAUGAGACAACAGUAAAUACUUCUCCUGUAGUGGAGCUGAAGGUCCCAGGAGUCACCACACCCUCAGAGACAGUUUCUCACAGCAGCUCUACAGCUCAUCGUGUUAGAGUGAAA